AUUGAACGCUGGCGGCAGGCCCAACACAUGCCAGUCGAGCGGAUGAAGGGAGCUUGCUCCUGGAUUCAGCGGCGGACGGGUGAGUAAUGCCUAGGAAUCUGCCUGGUAGUGGGGGAUAACGUCCGGAAACGGGCGCUAAUACCGCAUACGUCCUGAGGGAGAAAGUGGGGGAUCUUCGGACCUCACGCUAUCAGAUGAGCCUAGGUCGGAUUAGCUAGUUGGUGGGGUAAAGGCCUACCAAGGCGACGAUCCGUAACUGGUCUGAGAGGAUGAUCAGUCACACUGGAACUGAGACACGGUCCAGACUCCUACGGGAGGCAGCAGUGGGGAAUAUUGGACAAUGGGCGAAAGCCUGAUCCAGCCAUGCCGCGUGUGUGAAGAAGGUCUUCGGAUUGUAAAGCACUUUAAGUUGGGAGGAAGGGCAGUAAGUUAAUACCUUGCUGUUUUGACGUUACCAACAGAAUAAGCACCGGCUAACUUCGUG
Molecule: ribosomal RNA, 484 nt
Filed under: uncultured bacterium
Lineage: Bacteria
Description: partial 16S ribosomal RNA
Rfam family: Bacterial small subunit ribosomal RNA
Source: RNAcentral